This 79-nucleotide transfer RNA is filed under the name Roseibium sp. TrichSKD4. RNAcentral describes it as "tRNA-Ile". It matches the Rfam family "tRNA". From Rfam's summary of the family: Transfer RNA (tRNA) molecules are approximately 80 nucleotides in length. Their secondary structure includes four short double-helical elements and three loops (D, anti-codon, and T loops). Lineage: Bacteria; Pseudomonadati; Pseudomonadota; Alphaproteobacteria; Hyphomicrobiales; Stappiaceae. The record is from RNAcentral.
UGGGCCGGUAGCUCAGGUGGUUAGAGCGCACGCCUGAUAAGCGUGAGGUCGGAGGUUCAAGUCCUCCUCGGCCCACCAU